RNAcentral lists this transfer RNA (77 nucleotides) under Gammaproteobacteria bacterium ESL0073. RNAcentral's name for it is "tRNA-Arg". It matches the Rfam family "tRNA". Rfam says of the family: Transfer RNA (tRNA) molecules are approximately 80 nucleotides in length. Lineage: Bacteria; Pseudomonadati; Pseudomonadota; Gammaproteobacteria. The record is from RNAcentral.
GCGCUUGUAGCUCAGAUGGAUAGAGCGACCGCCUCCUAAGCGGUAGGCCGCGGGUUCGAAUCCCGCCUCGCGCACUA